AAGAGCAGCAAGAAGGGAAGCUGCAAGUAGGUCAGAUGCAUCACAGAAGAAAAAAUAAUUUUGAUGAUUAAUAGAGAUUAAAGAAGGCAAAAGCAAACAAUCAGAAGAAUGCCAUUUAUCUAGCAUUUAAACAAGAGCCUUUCUAAAAAAGCAGGGUUUCCAUGCCUGAAGAAGAAGAGGAUUUCCCACAUUGCAGGUUCAGCAUGAGAAGAAAAAAUUUUGCCAACUUCAUUGCAGCCAAACUGCAGCCCUAAUGUAACAAUCUGACGGAGACACAAACAAGGAAGGAUGAGGAAGACAAGACACUGAGUUACAGCAAUAAAAUGGAGGAUGGAUGCAUGUUCAAGGACUUCUUGGAAAUGUUGUGUGAAGGCGGUAAUGGAUCAUUCACUCAGCCAGUCCACAGAGAAGUUGGGAGGGGAGAAUGUCUGACAGAAAUCUCCUCUUUGGGACCCUUCCAGUCUUCCCGGCGGCUGCUCGUCCCGUUUCUUGAUGUUGGUGUGUAACAUGGACUAGUCCAGCGUUCAUAGCAGCUGGCUGAGAAGAAAGAACAAGGACAGCUGGUUAAAAGGCACAGGAAUCAUGAAGUCUGGGUUGUCUCCUGGCUUAACCACUGGGACCCUGAGCAAGUCACUUCUGCUUUUGAGGCAUCAGUCUGAAAGAAGGCGCCCUGUCCCUGGGGGGUGCUGGGAAGUUUGAAGCUCUUUGAGAUCCUUGGCUAAAAUGUUGAUCGCACUUCUGUGACUGCAGUGAUGUGAGGUGAACUAGUCAGGGCCAAUAAGUUGCUGGAUGAUAUUAGCCUUUGAGCGAUUUGUGAAUGAUCUGCCAAAAGAGUUUGAUUUUCCCCAGUGAAAUGCACGUUUCCAAUGAUUCAGUAGCUUUCUGGUCUGCUUGAGACUUGCUUAGUUCAGGGCCAGAUAGAGGGAAGGAGGCAAAACUGGCAUGAUAUGAGUCUUUGACUGCUCAAAUCUGCUACGCUGUACAAAACUCAAAAUUAGUCAUUUAGGAAAUAGCUGGAGCUGUCGUUUAAAAGCCAAGCCAGCAGAGUGAGCUGUGGCUCCAUCCUCCAGCAACUGCUAAAGCACUGGGCACUGCCGG
Molecule: long non-coding RNA, 1098 nt
Filed under: Crocodylus porosus (Australian saltwater crocodile)
Lineage: Eukaryota; Metazoa; Chordata; Crocodylia; Crocodylidae
Description: lncRNA (ENSCPRG00005001311.1)
Source: RNAcentral